GUAAAGGUUCCGGAGACCUCAAAGCUUGGAGGAGAGUGCUGAUGUCAAGUGAAGAGAGGCAUGUCCAGAGGGCUGAAGAGAAGUCUGCGUUUGAGAAUGAAGGCCAUAUUGUGGAUCUGACAUUCAGAGGCGGGAGGACCAAGAAUAUCCCCCCAAUAGAACCAAUACCACACGCACAAGCUAUUUAAUGACAGAUGUUAAAAAGGGCAAAGAAAGGUACAAAGAACUUUCCCUAUGUUAAGAUGACUCAUAAGACCCGUGGGAAAUGAUACAUCACUCUCAAACCAAAGGAGAGAGAAGAGAAAGAGAUGAAGAAAGGGAGCAGAGAUUAGAGAACUUGCCCAAACUCACACAGUGAGUGGCCCUUGGAGUCUAAGAAUAAACCCAGUCACUGGCACUCCAGAGGCCAUGGUUAGAAACAUUACUCCUACAAAAGGAUGGACUGCAUGGCCAGAUAAGAAGUCAGAGGAUCAAGGCAGUUCAUUGAAGUAGACUGAUUCUUGUUAUCUUAAGGAGUUGACCUACCGUUGUACAUUCCUGUUCAGAACUGCUUUGACAAACACCUGGGAAUCGUGUCAAAAUAUUUGAAGAUUAUGAGAAAGAAAGAAGAUAAAGGUUUGAACUUUGUCUUUCUAGCUAUUUUUUUCCCCUGACACUUCGUGAAUACAAUUCAAA
RNAcentral lists this long non-coding RNA (675 nucleotides) under Equus caballus (horse). RNAcentral's name for it is "lncRNA (ENSECAG00000042124.2)". Lineage: Eukaryota; Metazoa; Chordata; Mammalia; Perissodactyla; Equidae. The record is from RNAcentral.